This 1507-nucleotide long non-coding RNA is filed under the name Ornithorhynchus anatinus (platypus). RNAcentral describes it as "lncRNA (ENSOANG00000047993.1)". The record is from RNAcentral. Lineage: Eukaryota; Metazoa; Chordata; Mammalia; Monotremata; Ornithorhynchidae.
GCAAGUGAAGCAGACCCACGUGGGAAAGUGAAGUGUCGCUCCUCCUUCUGCAAAGACUCCAUCUCAUCACCGCCCCCACUCCCACCCCUUCCACCCAUCGCUAUCAUGCCCAUGCGUGAAGACACCAGAGAACAAACAGAUGCACCAUCAAUUUACAUAGGGAGGAGAGGUCUAUAAAUGGUCCAGGAUGGGUACCAGGAUGGCAAGAGACACAGUAACUUCUCACAGAUCGGAUCCCCUAAAGAGCUGUGUUUGCCAGUGCAGUUCCCCGGGGACGGCAACGUCAGCAGAGCUGAGACCCUCCUCCAACUCAGCCGAGAAGAGAUUCAACGGUGUGAGUUACCAGGUGCUGGGGAGAACAGCAAGAUGCUCAGCUGUGCCAGGGGAUGGUGACUCAGUGUCCAGAGGUGAGCUUGAAAAACAGAGGAGCCCAAAAAUUCACUGGUAGAAAUUUUUUUCUCAAGUGCUCUAUCUAAGAAAAAUCCCACCAUAAUCACAAGUCUCUGAGUUAUUUUUACCCUGAUCCCCGACUUCCACUCUCUCUCGCCCUCAUCCACCCUCUCCCUCUCUCCCCUCCUCUCUCUCUUUCUCUCUCUCUCUCUCUCCUAGGAAAGUUACAGCUUCCAGUACAAAGUGAAUAGCUUUACUAGCGGCUACAAUAUUGUUAUAAACUCAAGAGCGAGACGAUCUCUCUCAGAGUGUGUCUAAGCAUGACUACCUCACCUGGGGAUCCUAGCCACAGACCAUUUAUGUUAAACCAUCUUCAUUUCUGCUCUAGGAAAACCACAAGAUACUGAAACUCUCCAAGCCGUGGUCAUUCAUUUGUUUCUCAUCUUGCUUCCGGGUCAGUGCCAGUCCCUCAACUAUAAAAGCAUUUCCAUUGUUUUCCUCUGUGAUGACCAGCAAAGUUCCAUUUUAGGCAACAGAUCCCCGCCUCAACCACCAUCUCUAACUGUACUCAUUCAAUAGUAUUUAUUCAUUCAAUAGUAUUUAUUGAGUGCUUACUAUGUGCAGAGCACUGUACUAAGCGCUUGGAAUAAACAAGUCGGCAACAGAUACAGUCCCUGCCAUUUGACGGGCUUACAGUCUAAUCGGGGGAGACGGACAGACGAGAACAAUGGCAAUAAAUAGAGUCAAGGGGAAGAAUAUCUCGUAAAAACAAUGACAACUAAAUAGAAUCGAGGUGAUGUACAUUUCAUUAACAAAAUAAAUAGGGUAAUGAAAAUAUAUACAGCUGAGCGGACGAGUACAGUGCUGAGGGGAUGGGCAGGGAGAGGGGGAGGAGCAGAGGGAGAUGGGGGGAAAAGAGGGUUAAUCUGCGGAGAGGUGAAGGGGGGGGGGUGGUAGAGGGAGUAGAGGGAGAAGAGGAGCUCAGUCUGGGAAGGCCUCUUGGAGGAGGUAAGUUUUAAGUAGGGUACGUAACCCGCUCGUUCAUCUCUCCGGUCACCCUGUAGAACGGAGGCGGACUGCUGACUGCAUUGUACACGGAGUGAUGCCAUUUGAUGUC